This 5052-nucleotide long non-coding RNA is filed under the name Homo sapiens (human). Its description in RNAcentral is "HSALNT0091658". Lineage: Eukaryota; Metazoa; Chordata; Mammalia; Primates; Hominidae. The record is from RNAcentral.
CUGACGCUGCUAAUAAAGACACACCCAACACUGGGUAAUUUAUAUAGGAAACAGGUUUAAUUGACUCACAGUUCCACACGGCUGGGGAGGCCUCACAAUCAUGGCAGAAGGCGAAUGAGGAGCAAAGUUAUGCCUUCUAAGGUGGCAGGCAAGAGGGCAUGUUCAGGGGAACUCCCCUUUAUAAAACCAUCAGAUCUCAUGAGUCUAAUUCACUAUCACAAGCACACCAUGGGAAAGACCCACCCCAUGAUUCAAUCACCUUCCACCCGGGUCCCUCCCACACAAUGGAAAUUAUGGGAGCUACAGUUCAAGAUGAGAUUUGGGUGGGGACACAGAGACAAACCAAAUCAAUUUUAGAGUUACUUUCCCUCAUUCUACAAAUGCUUCCUAGUAUUCCCUGACUCAUGUUCUUUCUCUCUCACUCCCACUGUCUGGGAUGGUACCUCAGAGAGUGAGAAAAAUAAGACUUAGAAAAAUUAAGUGAUGGCAAGAACUUGAACCAUGUUUCCUGACUUCCAUAUCAGAGCUUGAAGUUCUCUGCAUUAAAAAAAAAAAACUAUAUACAUUUGAACUAUUUAAUCAUGUGAAAGGAAUAUUCAUCAUCUUUAUGGGGUGAUGUUAUCCUCUAAAAGUUCAAGGAGAAAAAUCUCAGUGUUCUGAUCACCGUUUUUCUCCCCUGCCUUUCCAUCUGCUGUCUCUGAACCAGUGACUCAUAACAUUCCUUUCUAGAUGAAACAGUCUUGUGAUUAGCACCCUGGGUGUGUUCGUAUGAGUCCCGUGGGGGUACAGAAAGUACAUGUUAGAACUAUUUGCAAUUAUUUUUUAACGUAAAAAUAAGACAGAAAUGAAGCCUCAUCAGUCUCUAAUACAUGAACACAGGUGGCUCAUACAUCACAUAGGCCUCAAGUAUUUUGAGGGAGGCAUAGGAGCUUCAUGGCUAACACGAAGGGGUCAACAGUGGCACCCUUUGGGGCUCACUCGCCUUUCCUGAAUUGCAGUUCAUACAUGCCCUAUUAAGUGGAUUUAGAGAUUAUAUAAUCUAAUUUUUAACUAAACUAAUCCUCACAAAAUGGACAAUUGGCUUUAAAAGAUCCCACCAAAGGAACUGUGGAUAGAAGAUAACACUAAUUGAACAAGCACAAGUGAACAGCAAUGAUAAACAAGAAUCUGCCGAGCCGACACUUCUACCCUACUUGAGCUCUAUGUCAGCCACGAUAUAGCUCACAAAGCAGUGGUACUAGAAUCAGAUCCGGCAAGAGAUCUGCCAAAACAAUCCAAAAUUAUCAAGAGGAAAUUUAUAUCUGCUCUCUUUAAUAUAUACUUCUAAGUAUAUAUUAUGCCUUAAAGUACUAACUAAUGAGAUUUUGAAGCCAUCAUGAUUGGCAGAACAUUGAAACAUAAAACACUCAGAAUGGGAAGACAUGCCUCUAUGAGAGGGGGUUUUAAAAAGCACAAUUUUACAUAAUUUUUAGCAAAUUGAAUAAUACAUGUAUGAAGCUUUUUGAGAUUUCUUAAUAUAUGAGAACUACUUUACAUUUGCAUAAUAUAACAUCUUAUAUUAUAAAUUGAUAUAAUAUAUGACUCUUUGAAAUGUUUGCAUUAAAAAGAUUCAAUAUGUAGCUGCUGAAGUGUUUUCAAGUUCCAUGACUAUGCAGAAGUUUUUACUCUAUCUCUGACAUCACAAAAUGCUAAAUGCUGUUAUUGCCUUUCUGUUGUUAGAAGUUGUCACUGUUCAACUCUCUCUGGGGAGAUUGAUUUACCUGGGUAUACUUCUGCAAACUUCUAUAAUUCCCUAUUCAUUGACUUGAAGGUAAACUACACACUAUACAUACAGCAGUGUAUGGUAACUGUCUUUGAGAACUUUGCCAAUUAUUUUUAAAAUAUUACAAUGAGUACAGCCUUUCUGAGAAAAUCUUCAGAAGAACAAACAGUAACUCAUGAAAGAAAAGGGAUUAAAAUCCUAAUAUAUUUUGUUUAGGUUGAGUUUAUGAAAAACCAAGACGAAAAUCAACGACAAACUCCAUUCUUUAUUUAAAUAUUGCCUAUCUCCCUAAUGAACUAUUUCACUCAAUCAUUAGUAAAAAAAAAUAGUAAAAUACAAUGUUUUUUUUAAACUCUCUUCAGUUUAGAAUUUUCUGACUAGCUGUCCUUGUGCUUUCAGAUUAAUAAUGCAGUAGGAUUUCUCCUGCUCUUAUUUAUGUAGAAAGUAAAGGAAGCAUUGUAGUUUUGGUGUCACAGAUAAAAAACAUUCCAAAUCAGAAUCUAUGGAGUGUCAAAUGCUCAAAUGUAUUGACUUUCAACAUUAAGAAAACAUUAGUUUGGUUUUUAUCCAAAGUCAAAGGCUAUUUUCCUCAUUUGCCACAUGAAACUUGAACACACAUUUGUGUUCAUCUAAACAGUUCACAUUCUCUUCUCUUCAGCAUUAGAGAGAGCCAUAGAUUUAUUUUUAUGGCUGUAGAUUUUGAAAGCAUUUGUUCUUCACCCAGAACUUACCAAUUCAGAAUAUAUUUUUCUUAUCAUAUACCAUUAAUAAGAAUUUCGUUAAAAUUAAGCCCUUGACUCAAGCGUACAUUGGUAGCAUUUAGUUGUCAUGGGUAGCACCAAAUGCCUAGGCCCUGAGAACAAUGCAACGAAGUCAGUAGCAAUUCACCAACCUAAAAUAUAUGUACCCCAAAUCAACGCCACUUUAAAGAUAAACAAGCAUUUGGCACACUAAUAAAUAAUGCUGUAAAUCUUGCUAUAUUGGAUUGCAAAUAACUCCAACUGAAUAAAAUUGCAUGACACAGGAUUUACUUAUUCUGCACAUUCAUAAAAACAACUUGUUCCCUGACAGCACUCAUUCUUGGCAAUUUACCACAGCUGUCAGCAGCCAAUUUGUUCAGAUUACUGCUCUGCAUAAAAGUGUAACAAUCAUGGGGAUUUAUUAGCUGAUUAUCGUAAAGGGGGCAGUCCGUCUUGCCUGCCAAAAUGCAGGUGAUCAGAAAGUUAAAUAAUUACAUGCAGAUUAACAUUAUUUCACCUUCACUUGAAAUUUGUAGUUCAGUGACAGGUAAAAUUUGUUGUUCAAACUUGCAAUAUGGUGUGCAUCACCUAAGUUAGUUUACCGAGUACUUGGCAUUUUACUGAGCACUCCAUGGCUCCAGGACAACAUGCUGAAUACAAGAGUGUGAUGAAAUAAGCAUGGACUUUAGAUUGAUCUGGAUUUGAGCCUCAGAUCAAUCACUCCACUGGCUGAGCAACCUCUUAACUGCCCUCAGCCUCACUAUUUGCAUCUGCAAAAUUGGUAUAAUAUGAACCACCCCUGCUACCCCAGAGUGUAAAGCUAAUGUGUAUAAUAGGGCCCUGCAGGUUGUAAAGCAUUAUUAUUAUUGUUUCUUUCCAUUUAUGGUAAAUUUACUUUUGUGUAAAGUUUUACAACCAGACAGCUCCGUAGAUAUCAUGAUGAUGAAAAGUUAUAGUAAGUGUCUUGGUAAAUGUAUAGCCUACUUUUCCCCCAAAUAUGGCCAUUUAUUAUUACUGAAGUAUAAAGAUUAUUCAGACACUUUUAUACUUUAACUAAUUCAUUCUUCUCUUUUGCAUUAUAUUCAAUUACCUUUCCACAGUUACACUGAAACUUUCUUACCUUCAACUAAGUCAUGUUGUUCUAAUUGCCUUUCCAUUAAUGCCUGGUGUCAGAUCAGCAUUUGUCUGACAAAGAGCCAUAAUUUCCAGUGUUAAAUCAAGCUUCAGGGAUUUAUAUUCAAACCCAGGAAAUAUUUACUGAGUGCUUGGUGCCAGAUACUUGUUUAGGUAUGGAGUAUGUUGCAGUGAACAAAACACUCAAAAAAUCCCUGCCCUCGUGGAGCUUACAUUCUAAUGAGGGAAAAUAAAUGAUAACAUAAAUAAGAUGCAUAGUUUGCCAUAUGGUGGUUGCUUUAAUGGAGAAAAACAGAGCAGAAUAGAGGAAUGGAAUGCCAAGAAAAGCAGGUUCAAUUUUAAAUAGGCUUGGUAUGGACGCCUCCCUGAUGAGACAUUGGUGCACAGAUCUAAAGAAGAUGAAGAAGCAAGGCAGGUGAGUGGAUCCCUGAAGAAAGUUAGAUAGAGGGAAAGGUCCUGAGGUGGGAGGGUGUCUGGUAUGCCUUGAGGAACAGCAAAGAGGCCAGCUGGCUGAAAGUGAAUGAAGGACGGGGAUAGGCAGAAUAGCAGAAGUUCAUAGUAGACAAGCAACAAGGCCAGAUUGUGCAAAGUCUUAUAGGCCACUGAAGGGACUGUGGCUGUCCCUAGAUUAUGAUGCAAAACAAUUAAAGGAUUUGGAACAGAGGAGUUAAGUUACUUUAUUUUUGUUUUAAAAAUAUUACUCUGGCUGCUAAUUGGAAACAGACUGUUGUGGGAGGGGAGGUGUGGAAGGAAGAACAGGAGGCUGUUGCUACUGUCCAUAUGAAAGCUGAUGGUGGCUUUGACCACAAUGAUAAUGAUAGAGAUGAUGAGCGGUCGAGAAUCCUCAAUAUGUUUUGAAGAAAAAUUAUCAGGUUGCUGAUUGAUUUGAUGAGAGUGAGAGAAAGAAAGGAAUCAAACAUGGUUCCACGAUUUUUGGUGUUAGCAACAAACAAGAGAAGGCUGAAGGAGGAGCAGAUGUGUGGGACUGAAGGUUAGAAGUUUAGCUUUGCACAUUCUAAAUUGGAGAAAUCUAUUAGACUUUCAAAUAGUGAUAUCAAGUAGGCAGUGCAAUAUAGGAAUCUGGAAUGCAGAGAAGAGUUAUGGAGUGGAGCUGGACUCUUGUGAAUCAAUGAAGUCACCAUGGGAGCCAGUAUAGAUGAAGAAGAUGCCCAAAGAGUGAGCUCCGAGGCUUUCCAGAACUACAACAUGAGGGGAUGAGGAAAAACCUGCAAAGGAGACAAGAAAGAGCAUGCAGUGAGGUAAGAAAAAAACAAGGAGCAUGCGGUGUCCUGGAAGGCAAGCGAAAAAUGUGUUUUAAGGUAAGGAAGGGGUCAGCUAAAUCCAGUACUGCUGCUGGGUCAGGUUAGACGAAGGUUGAAAACUGGUCAUUGAAUUGAACAAUGUGGUGGGCUUGGG